GUGCCAGCCGCCGCGGUAAUACGGAGGAUGCAAGCGUUAUCCGGAUUUAUUGGGUUUAAAGGGUGCGUAGGCGGGUUAUCAAGUCAGCGGUGAAAUUUUUCGGCUUAACCGUAAAAUUGCCGUUGAAACUGGUGAUCUUGAGUGCGAGCGAGGUAGGCGGAAUGUGCCGUGUAGCGGUGAAAUGCAUAGAUAUGGCACAGAACUCCGAUUGCGAAGGCAGCUUACUAGUACGCUACUGACGCUGAUGCACGAAGGCGUGGGGAUCAAACAGGAUUAGAUACCCUGGUAGUCCACGCAGUAAACGAUGAUUACUAGCUGUUUGCGAUAUACCGUAAGCGGCCGAGCGAAAGCAUUAAGUAAUCCACCUGGGGAGUACGUUCGCAAGAAUGAAACUCAAAUAAAUUGACGG
Molecule: ribosomal RNA, 409 nt
Filed under: uncultured bacterium
Lineage: Bacteria
Description: bacterial SSU rRNA
Rfam family: Bacterial small subunit ribosomal RNA
Source: RNAcentral